UCUUUUUGGUCAUGUUUUAUGUAUAAUUUCAUUUAAAUUAAAUACUUUUUCCAAAACUACAAAAUUCUUAGUCGCAAAAAAAUAAAAAAAAAGUAAAACUGACACAGUUGAAAUCUGAACCCGGGCCGACCGGCUCAUAGUUCAAUUUCAUUACCACUAAACCACGUGCUUGCGGCGAACACAUUGUCAUGAUUUUUUUUGUUUUUAUUAUUUUAUUAAAGAAAAUGUUGUUCAUCCUCCAAUUUUUUUUGCUUAAAAUAGUCCAAAGAAGAUUAGCUUACUAUUUCAUAUUCAAAAAAGUUAAAAUUCGGAGAUACCUAAAGCCGACUAGAACCAAAGUAAAUAAGCUUAACCAUUCAAUUUUAUAACAAUAAGCAUUAAAUUUUAAUAAUAAAAAAAUAUAUUUAAAAAAUGACCUUUUAUUGAUAAUGACCCACUAUAUGUUUUAUUUAAGAGUAAAACCCUGUAAAAAACCGGUGAUUUCUCAAAUUUUGUUUGGAAUAAUACCUAUGACUCAUAAGUUAUCUAAUGCAAACAUAACCUUAACUGACAGUCUACAUUUAGAUAGAGCACGAAAAAUCUAAAUUUUUCUUGCUUAUUUAUCGAAAAAAUAAACUAUAAUAUAUUGUUAAAAAAGAUGAAUAUGGUUGAAAAUUCUGUGGAACUAUUUCAAUCGAAUGGACAAGACUCUCUGGCAGAGAAAGCAGAUAAAUUGGAAAAAUGUUGUGACCGACAUUAUCUUAUAAAUUCCAGUUUACUCUUAAGUGAUGGAGAUAACACGACGAAUGUCAGUUUAUUGGAUCUAAACGCCACUAUAGAAGCACAGAACAUGCGAAUAAUUGUUCGUGAAAGAGAUCAAUUAAUUCGAAGCCUAGAGAGAGAAAACAUGUUUCUCAGAGAACAAGUGAACUCUCUCAACUUGAUGCUGGAUCAGCUAACGGCUUCCACAAAAAGUUUGGCAGCCGCAAAAAAUGAUAUUAGAAUAAAAGUUGAAAAUUCUACAGGAGUUUCCAUGAAGAAGUGGUACACACGACCCAAAGUUGUACUAACGGGUAGUGCUAUCGCUAUUGUAUUGUCUUUAUAUUUGAAAUAUAAAAUUAGAAAUUGGUAAAAA
Anthonomus grandis grandis is the source of this 1114-nucleotide long non-coding RNA. RefSeq lists it as uncharacterized. The transcript has 2 exons. The record is from RefSeq and is a predicted model, not a curated record. Lineage: Eukaryota; Metazoa; Arthropoda; Insecta; Coleoptera; Curculionidae.